UUCUAACUUCCUAGCAAUUUUAUCUUAUCAAGUCCUCCACUUACUCACGUCUCCAAUAUCCCCCCAUCUCUCUCUCUCUCUCUCCCCUCCCCCCUCUUUACCACGUAAAAAAACCCUUUCUCACCACACACCAUUGAACCCCAAACCAUAAAAACAGAGGAAGAAACCAGAAAGAAAAAUAGGAAAUCAAAUACUCACACACCUGAACCAGCAGAAGGAAGAAAAAAUCAAGGCCCGAACAAAUCGCUGCUUCCGUAUCUGCCCUAUUCGCUCAGAAGGUCGACAACAAGAAGUUGAUAACAUCGAUUAAGGUAUAUUUCAUAGCACUUUUAAAAAUUGAGAAUAUAUGAUCUUCGAUGUGAGUGUAUUUAGUUUCUAAUUCUAAAAAUUGUGUAUUUAUCAUAUUGCUCUACUUGUUUAUCCUCUCCAAAAAGUAUGUAAAAAUCGGUGAGAUUUCUUGUUCUUGUUAACCAUUGUUGUGAAGUUUGUGUUGAAAGAAGAGUGAUGGGGACUGAUGAAUUAAUGGCAUGUAUGUAUUUUCUUUGUAUUAACUAAAUUGUUGCUGCUUUAAUUCAUGCCACAUGAUGACAAAUGUACUAUCCGUUCCAAUUGAGGCUGCUUGAUUUUUUACUCCCAUUGUGGGGGUGGAGUGGGGUGGGGAGGGGGUGGCAGGUGGGGAUAGAUUAUCAAAGAAGGCAGUAAAUUAUGUGGGGAAUAGAGAUGUUGAAGAGAGAUGCCAAAGCUUUGUUGAAACUAAUAGUUAACGUCGAAGACAUAGUGACAGAAAUAAAUAAUCCAAGAAUUAUUUUAUGUUGUGUAUACCGCACAUUCUGGAAUAGUAUGAGAUCAAUAAAACUGGCAAGUGCCAUAGCCUAAUCUACUCAAUACAGGAAAUAUGGAUAGAUAACUUAAAUAAAGCUAAUGAUAGGACUAAUAUAUUCAUAACUAAUUAGCACCUACAAAGCUUUUCAUUUAGAGGAAUAACAGUAGAUUUUUCAGCCGAAUUUAACUAUCACGUAGGUAAAAUUUAGAGUUUGAGAUGAAUCUUGUCAAGUCUUGUCAAGGGGUGGCAUACAAUAAGGAGAUAGUUGAUUCUUUGCACUAGACAAGGCAAUCGUUUGAGUUUUUAUUUCUUAGCUCUCUUUCGAGUUUUUAUUUCUUAGCUCUCUUUAAAUGUGAAGUUGUCAAAAAACUGUAACAUAAUGAAGAUCAAUUAUAACUUUUGAGUAGGUCCAUCAUCUAAACACAGAUCACAAUGGAAAAUAUAACUGUGAAAACAUGCCCACUAAGGGGUAUUGUACGCGUGAUACAUCAGGAACUGCCUUAGUCUAGAUAGUUUAUACGACAAUGUAGCCUUGCCUUUUAAACUCAUGGGAAUGUGUUUUCCUUGCUGAUCUUUUUUAAUACCCAACAGCUAAACUGACAUGAAUGAGUGUGCUAUAAUUGAACAUAAGAACAUAAGUGUAUUUGACCCACUGGAUGGUAGCUUAUCAUGAAGUGACUUCUUCUGAGUCGUGCAUAAUUAACACAAAGGACUGAACGUGUCUUCCAAGGAACCUUUUCUUAGUUCCUCUGAUUGGCUCUGUCGUGAAUGGACUGAAUAACUAUCGAAACCCACCUGCUAAAAGUGAGUCACCAAAUUUAUUUUCUUCAUUUUCUUAAUUGGAAUUUAGAGCUUUGAUAAAUUUAUCUAUUAAAGAAUUUUCUAGGAGCGCGUCCUACAAGUUAUGUAAGAAUAUUUUCCAUGAGAUUGUUGGUGAUAUCAAUUAUAGUUCCCCCUCAAAAUUUUCAUCUCUCUUUGCGGAAUAGUCUACUUCGAUUACCAUCUUCUAGCUUUAACCUAUGUUGUGUUUCCUCUUUACUAGUUUAUCAUCAACAAAAUUUGAAAGUCAUAAACAAAUAGGUGUUCUCAAAAAUGAGUACCGUGGCUUCACCAUUUUGUGUAUUUUUUGAUAGCCUUAUGUUAAACCAACUUUUCCACUGCAAGUUCAUGCCAAUGACAACACCAGUUGAAAAAUUCAGAUUUAUGAGCUUGACUGAUGAAGAAUUCAUGCGUGAUUUGAUCUUUGAGAAUAUUGGUCGUAAUCCGCCUCCACUACUUUAAGAUGGCAUGAUUGGAUAAUUCAACAAACAUAUGUAAAAGUAUGAUAUCCAUGUUAGUUUGGAUUGCUACUCACUUUUAAUAGAGAUUUUUUUGUUUUUUAAUUUUACUUUUUGUUCUUUUGUUCUAUGUUGGACAUAAGGUUGUCAUUGUUUAUUUGAUUAUCUCAUAACUAUUUUUUAUUGGAAUGAAAAGAAUUAAUUCUCAUACAUGAGUAUAAAUUUGAAUUAGUGAGUUUGUUU
Molecule: long non-coding RNA, 2343 nt
Filed under: Olea europaea subsp. europaea
Lineage: Eukaryota; Viridiplantae; Streptophyta; Magnoliopsida; Lamiales; Oleaceae
Source: RNAcentral